CCUACGGGUGGCUGCAGUGGGGAAUAUUGGACAAUGGGGGGAACCCUGAUCCAGCCAUGCCGCGUGUGUGAAGAAGGCCCUCGGGUUGUAAAGCACUUUCAGUGAGGAAGAACGCCUGGUGGUUAAUACCCAUCAGGAAAGACAUCACUCACAGAAGAAGCACCGGCUAACUCCGUGCCAGCAGCCGCGGUAAUACGGAGGGUGCGAGCGUUAAUCGGAAUUACUGGGCGUAAAGCGCGCGUAGGUGGCUUGAUAAGCCGGUUGUGAAAGCCCCGGGCUCAACCUGGGAACGGCAUCCGGAACUGUCAAGCUAGAGUGCAGGAGAGGAAGGUAGAAUUCCCGGUGUAGCGGUGAAAUGCGUGGAGAUCGGGAGGAAUACCAGUGGCGAAGGCGGCCUUCUGGACUGACACUGACACUGAGGUGCGAAAGCGUGGGUAGCAAACAGGAUUAGAUACCCCAGUAGUC
This 465-nucleotide ribosomal RNA is filed under the name Vreelandella stevensii. RNAcentral describes it as "partial 16S ribosomal RNA". It matches the Rfam family "Bacterial small subunit ribosomal RNA", at positions 338 to 795 of the family's 1533-position model. Lineage: Bacteria; Pseudomonadati; Pseudomonadota; Gammaproteobacteria; Oceanospirillales; Halomonadaceae. The record is from RNAcentral.